Molecule: ribosomal RNA, 652 nt
Filed under: Clistobothrium cf. montaukensis PB-2001
Lineage: Eukaryota; Metazoa; Platyhelminthes; Cestoda; Phyllobothriidea; Phyllobothriidae
Description: partial 28S large subunit ribosomal RNA
Source: RNAcentral
ACAGUACGUGAAACCGCAUGCAGGUAAACGGGUGGCGUCAAGCUGCAAGCCCAGAGGAUUCAGCUGGCUAGGAUGUUGUGUAUGCGCUUGCGCAUCUAUCAGUCAGAAUAAGAUGUGAUAGUCCACUGGUAAACGGUGGGCCCGGCCGCAAGGUUGGGAUAUGUGUACCGGGCGGAAGCCGGAGCAUGCUAUUCGUCUGUUGGGCUGUCUAGUCAGUGCACUUUCUCUGUGGUGAACACCACGACCGGUGGAAUUGCCAGUCUGCUGUAGUCAAGUCGUAUUCAGUCGGUUCUUGUAGCCAACUGGGUGCGAUCACAGGCAAACUCAGUAAACGGCGUAGGGGUGUUUCGGCAUCCUUGCGUGUUAUCGGCUGCUGGUUGUCAACGGGCCUGCCUGAUGAUUGUUGUAACCGUCAUUGGGUGGUCUGGUGGACUAUGGUGGUAAGAAUAACUGUGCAAGGCAUCGGAGUUCUCGGCCUCAAAUGCAUCCUGCAUACACGUUACAAGUGGAGUGGGGUGCCAUUGCAGCCUGCCUGUUGUUGGGUCUGAUUGUCGUGUCGCCUGCGCAAAGUGGGCCCGGCAGUGGCCUGAUGCGGGAUGGGUUGUGGAUGGUGCUUCCUGUGUAGGGUGCGGUGGGUCAAAUAGUCAGUGGU